This 1249-nucleotide ribosomal RNA is filed under the name metagenome. Its description in RNAcentral is "bacterial LSU rRNA". It matches the Rfam family "Bacterial large subunit ribosomal RNA", at positions 1635 to 2875 of the family's 2925-position model. The record is from RNAcentral.
CACACGACCGUACCGCAAACCGACACUGGUGCGCGAGAUGAGUAUUCUAAGGCGCUUGAGAGAACUCAGGAGAAGGAACUCGGCAAAUUGACACCGUAACUUCGGAAGAAGGUGUGCCUUUAGUAGGUGAACCAUUUACUUGGGGAGCCCAAUGAGGCUGCAAAAAAUCGGUGGCUGCAACUGUUUAUUAAAAACACAGCACUCUGCUAAGACGAAAGUCGACGUAUAGGGUGUGACGCCUGCCCGGUGCUGGAAGAUUAAAUGAUGGGGUGCAAGCUCUUGAUUGAAGUCCCAGUAAACGGCGGCCGUAACAAUAACGGUCCUAAGGUAGCGAAAUUCCUUGUCGGGUAAGUUCCGACCUGCACGAAUGGCGUAAUGAUGGCCACACUGUCUCCUCCUGAGACUCAGCGAAGUUGAAAUGUUUGUGAUGAUGCAUCUCCCCGCGGAAAGACGGAAAGACCCCAUGAACCUUUACUGUAGCUUUGUAUUGGACUUUGAACAGAUCUGUGUAGGAUAGGUGGGAGGCUUUGAAGUGUGGUCGCUAGAUCGCAUGGAGCCAACGUUGAAAUACCACCCUGUGUGUUUGAGGUUCUAACCUAGGUCCAUUAUCUGGAUCGGGGACAGUGCAUGGUAGGCAGUUUGACUGGGGCGGUCUCCUCCCAAAGUGUAACGGAGGAGUUCGAAGGUACGCUAGGUACGGUCGGACAUCGUGCUAAUAGUGCAAUGGCAUAAGCGUGCUUAACUGCGAGACUGACAAGUCGAGCAGAUGCGAAAGCAGGACAUAGUGAUCCGGUGGUUCUGUAUGGAAGGGCCAUCGCUCAACGGAUAAAAGAUACUCUGGGGAUAACAGGCUGAUACCGCCCAAGAGUUCAUAUCGACGGCGGUGUUUGGCACCUCGAUGUCGGCUCAUCUCAUCCUGGGGCUGUAGCCGGUCCCAAGGGUAUGGCUGUUCGCCAUUUAAGGAGGUACGGGAGCUGGGUUUAAAACGUCGUGAGACAGUUUGGUCCCUAUCUUCCGUGGGCGCUGCAGAUUUGAGGAAGCCUGCUCCUAGUACGAGAGGACCGGAGUGGACGAACCUCUGGUGUAUCGGUUGUCACGCCAGUGGCAUUGCCGAGUAGCUAAGUUCGGAAGAGAUAACCGCUGAAAGCAUCUAAGCGGGAAACUCGUUUCAAGAUUAGAUCUGCCGGGGCCUUGAGCCCCCUAGAGAGUCGUUCAAGACCAGGACGUUGAUAGGUCAGGUGUGGAAGCG